CCUACGUGGUGCAGCAGUGGGGAAUAUUGGACAAUGGGCGAAAGCCUGAUCCAGCCAUGCCGCGUGUGUGAAGAAGGCCUUCGGGUUGUAAAGCACUUUCAGUGGGGAAGAAAGCCUUGGGGCUAAUACCCUCGAGGAAGGACAUCACCCACAGAAGAAGCACCGGCUAACUCCGUGCCAGCAGCCGCGGUAAUACGGAGGGUGCGAGCGUUAAUCGGAAUUACUGGGCGUAAAGCGCGCGUAGGCGGUCUGAUAAGCCGGUUGUGAAAGCCCCGGGCUCAACCUGGGAACGGCAUCCGGAACUGUCAGGCUAGAGUGCAGGAGAGGAAGGUAGAAUUCCCGGUGUAGCGGUGAAAUGCGUAGAGAUCGGGAGGAAUACCAGUGGCGAAGGCGGCCUUCUGGACUGACACUGACGCUGAGGUGCGAAAGCGUGGGUAGCAAACAGGAUUAGAUACCCGUGUAGUC
Molecule: ribosomal RNA, 465 nt
Filed under: Vreelandella stevensii
Lineage: Bacteria; Pseudomonadati; Pseudomonadota; Gammaproteobacteria; Oceanospirillales; Halomonadaceae
Description: partial 16S ribosomal RNA
Rfam family: Bacterial small subunit ribosomal RNA
Source: RNAcentral